AUGAUAUGCUUCUUCGCAGUUGAGUGGCACUUUGUAGACCGUGUGGCAAGACAAUUUGGAAAAAGACAAGGUAUUCCAAUUGAGGAGAGCAAGGAGGAAAUGCUAUCUCUGCAUCGGUUCGAUCGAAGGAACAAUCAGGAUAUAUCGGAUUGGGCAAACAAACACCGUGCGUGGAUAGAAAUUUGGAAUCAAAGAGACACGUUAGUGCAAUCAGAGAAUAGACCUCACAAUCAGUCAGCAUAUCAGAAGUAUCAAGUGUGGUAUGCGGAUCGUUACCGGUUAAAGCUGAAGCCAGGUUGGACUCACGAGGAGUGGUCGGAGUUGGUGUCUGAAGACCCGGAGACUGCAGAAGGUUAUCAUACCUUCAACACGGCUGUGAGAGACACCAGAGGGGCUCAUGUUGACUACGCACCGAUGCAUGACGAAAUGGUAGUCUGUUUGACCUAUUCUAACAUACUUGCAUCAUGUUGUCUUCUUUCAAAUACAUAA
RNAcentral lists this ribosomal RNA (489 nucleotides) under Triticum aestivum (bread wheat). RNAcentral describes it as "partial small subunit ribosomal RNA". The record is from RNAcentral. Lineage: Eukaryota; Viridiplantae; Streptophyta; Magnoliopsida; Poales; Poaceae.